This 71-nucleotide transfer RNA is filed under the name Diaphorina citri (Asian citrus psyllid). It matches the Rfam family "tRNA". From Rfam's summary of the family: Transfer RNA (tRNA) molecules are approximately 80 nucleotides in length. Their secondary structure includes four short double-helical elements and three loops (D, anti-codon, and T loops). Lineage: Eukaryota; Metazoa; Arthropoda; Insecta; Hemiptera; Psyllidae. The record is from Rfam by way of RNAcentral.
GCCUAGUUAGCUUGGUUGGUAGCGCGUGCCUUGUAAGCGCUAGGUCGCGGGUUCGAUUCCUACCCCGGGCA